CAGUCGAACGAACUUCCGUUAAUUGAUUAUGACGUACUUGUACUGAUUGAGAUUUUAACACGAAGUGAGUGGCGAACGGGUGAGUAACACGUGGGUAACCUGCCCAGAAGUAGGGGAUAACACCUGGAAACAGAUGCUAAUACCGUAUAACAGAGAAAACCGCAUGGUUUUCUUUUAAAAGAUGGCUCUGCUAUCACUUCUGGAUGGACCCGCGGCGUAUUAGCUAGUUGGUGAGGUAAAGGCUCACCAAGGCAGUGAUACGUAGCCGACCUGAGAGGGUAAUCGGCCACAUUGGGACUGAGACACGGCCCAGACUCCUACGGGAGGCAGCAGUAGGGAAUCUUCCACAAUGGACGCAAGUCUGAUGGAGCAACGCCGCGUGAGUGAAGAAGGGUUUCGGCUCGUAAAGCUCUGUUGUUAAAGAAGAACGUGGGUAAGAGUAACUGUUUACCCAGUGACGGUAUUUAACCAGAAAGCCACGGCUAACUACGUGCCAGCAGCCGCGGUAAUACGUAGGUGGCAAGCGUUAUCCGGAUUUAUU
Molecule: ribosomal RNA, 541 nt
Filed under: Pediococcus pentosaceus
Lineage: Bacteria; Bacillati; Bacillota; Bacilli; Lactobacillales; Lactobacillaceae
Description: bacterial SSU rRNA
Rfam family: Bacterial small subunit ribosomal RNA
Source: RNAcentral